UGAAUACGAGGCACUAAGGUGCUGAAGUAGUGUAUGUCAUACUUCCAAGAAAAGCUUGCACUAUCGUAAGAUAAAAAUGCCUGUACCAUAACCGACACAGGUGGGUAGGUAGAGUAUACUAAGGGGCGCGAGAUAACUCUCUCUAAGGAACUCGGCAAAAUAACUCCGUAACUUCGGGAGAAGGAGUGCCUUAUUCUAUAAGGUUGCAAUAACAAGAUCCAAGCAACUGUUUAUCAAAAGCACAGGUCUCCGCUAAGUCGUAAGACGAUGUAUGGGGGCUGACGCCUGCCCAGUGCCAGAAGGUUAAAGAAGUCGGUUAGCAAUUGCGAAGCUGGUAACUGAAGCCCUGGUGAACGGCGGCCGUAACAAUAACGGUCCUAAGGUAGCGAAAUUCCUUGUCGGGUAAGUUCCGACCCGCACGAAAGGCGUAAUGAUUUGGAUACUGUCUCGGAGAGGGACUCGGUGAAAUAGACUUGUCUGUGAAGAUGCGGACUACCUGCACCAGGACAGAAAGACCCUAUGAAGCUUUACUGUAACUUGAAAUUGAAAUUGGACUUUAUUCGCGCAGUAUAGGUGGGAGGCGUUGAUUAUAAUCUUGUGGGAUUAUUGGAGCCAUUAGUGAGAUACCACUCUUGUAAUGUUAGAUUUCUAACUUUGAAUCAUGAUCUGGUCAAAGAACAGUUUCAGGCGGGCAGUUUGACUGGGGCGGUCGCCUCCUAAAUGGUAACGGAGGCGUACAAAGGUUUCCUCUGAACGGGUAGAAAUCGUAUCUAGAGUGUAAAGGCAUAAGGAAGCUUGACUGUGAGACCUACAAGUCGAGCAGGGACGAAAGUCGGUCUUAGUGAUCUGACGGUACUGAGUGGAAAGGCCGUCACUCAACGGAUAAAAGUUACUCUAAGGAUAACAGGCUGAUCUCCCCCAAGAGUUCACAUCGACGGGGAGGUUUGGCACCUCGAUGUCGGCUCAUCGCAUCCUGGGGUGGUAGUACGUCCCAAGGGUUGGGCUGUUCGCCCAUGAAAGCGGUACGCGAGCUGGGUUCAGAACGUCGUGAGACAGUUCGGUCCAUAUCCGGUGUAGGCGUUAGAAUAUUGAGAGGAGCCUUCUUUAGUACGAGAGGACCGAGAAGGACAUACCUCUGGUGUACCAGUUAUCGUGCCAACGGUAAACGCUGGGUAGCUAUGUAUGGAGUGGAUAACCGCUGAAAGCAUCUAAGUGGGAAGCCCACCUCAAGAUAAG
RNAcentral lists this ribosomal RNA (1236 nucleotides) under metagenome. RNAcentral's name for it is "bacterial LSU rRNA". It matches the Rfam family "Bacterial large subunit ribosomal RNA", at positions 1564 to 2808 of the family's 2925-position model. The record is from RNAcentral.